Molecule: ribosomal RNA, 537 nt
Filed under: Pholcus ornatus
Lineage: Eukaryota; Metazoa; Arthropoda; Arachnida; Araneae; Pholcidae
Description: partial 16S ribosomal RNA
Rfam family: Bacterial large subunit ribosomal RNA
Source: RNAcentral
UCAAAAACAUUUCUUUAAGAAUUUUAACUUAAAGUAAGACCUGCUCAAUGAUAUUUAAAUAGCCGCAGUUCAACUGUGCUAAGGUAGCAUAAUAACUUGCUUCUUAAUUAGAAGAUAGAAUGAAAGGUUACACACUAAAAUUAUGUUUCUUUUAUACUAAAUUAAAUUAAAACAAAAGUCAAAAUCCUUUUAAAUAUAUAGCGGGACGACAAGACCCUAACAAACUUAUUAUUUAGUUGGGGAAACAAAUUAAAAAAACUUUAACUCAAUAAAUUACACAACUUUAAGAUUAAAUAAAGUCUAGUUACUGUAGGGAUAACAGCGUUAUUUCUUUUAAGAGACCCUAUCUAAAAAGAAGAUUACGACCUCGAUGUUGAAUUAAUCAACCUAUAAUACGCAACAGUUUAUAAUAAGGUAGUCUGUUCGACUAUUAAAUGAUUACAUGAUUUGAGUUCAGAUCGGUGUGAGCCAGAUCGGUUUCUAUCUGCUAUACUCUUAAGUAAAUAGUACGAAAGGACCUUGACUUAUGAUAAAAUC